Molecule: ribosomal RNA, 254 nt
Filed under: uncultured bacterium
Lineage: Bacteria
Description: partial 16S ribosomal RNA
Rfam family: Bacterial small subunit ribosomal RNA
Source: RNAcentral
UACGGGGGGAGCAAGCGUUGUUCGGAUUUACUGGGCGUAAAGGGCGCGUAGGCGGCCACCGCAAGUCGACUGUGAAAUCUCUGGGCUUAACCCAGAAAGGUCAGCCGAUACUGCGGGGCUAGAGUGCAGAAGGGGCAACUGGAAUUCUCGGUGUAGCGGUGAAAUGCGUAGAUAUCGGGAGGAACACCAGUGGCGAAGGCGACUUCCUGGCCUGUUCUUGACGCUGAGGCGCGAAAGCUAGGGUAGCAAACGGG